RNAcentral lists this ribosomal RNA (484 nucleotides) under uncultured bacterium. Its description in RNAcentral is "partial 16S ribosomal RNA". It matches the Rfam family "Bacterial small subunit ribosomal RNA", at positions 30 to 507 of the family's 1533-position model. The record is from RNAcentral.
AUUGAACGCUGGCGGCAGGCCUAACACAUGCAAGUCGAGCGGAUGAAGGGAGCUUGCUCCUGGAUUCAGCGGCGGACGGGUGAGUAAUGCCUAGGAAUCUGCCUGGUAGUGGGGGAUAACGUCCGGAAACGGGCGCUAAUACUGCAUACGUCCUGAGGGAGCAAGUGGGGGAUCUUCGGACCUCACGCUCUCAGAUGAGCCUAGGUCGGACUAGCUAGUUGGUGGGGUAAAGGCCUACCAAGGCGACGAUCCGUAACUGGUCUGAGAGGAUGAUCAGUCACACUGGAACUGAGACACGGUCCAGACUCCUACGGGAGGCAGCAGUGGGGAAUAUUGGACAAUGGGCGAAAGCCUGAUCCAGCCAUGCCGCGUGUGUGAAGAAGGUCUUCGGAUUGUAAAGCACUUUAAGUUGGGAGGAAGGGCAGUAAGUUAAUACCUUGCUGUUUUGACGUUACCAACAGAAUAAGCACCGGCUAACUUCGUG